UUCUCCAUAUCAUGUAGUUAAAUGCCAUAAUAUUGACCUUCUUGGAUAUCAUUGGCUUGCAAUGGUUUGACGGUGGCCAAUCAUUUAAUUACUAGUGUAUUAGCAAUAUUCCUCUAGUGCAUGCAGAAACUCUACAUAAAUUGUUUGACUUGGCAAAAUGCAUACCCAUAGCUAUUGGUUUAACAUGUUCCAACAUUUCAAAGAAAACAUAUGUUUGAAGAGAUUUUUGUUACUUUGAGCAAUCCCAAUAAUUUGGUCACAAGGUCUGUACAUUUGUGGCUUAUUGUAUGUAAAAAAAGAGUUGAUCAAGGGGAGAGACGUCCCCUUGACUUCAGUCUUAAAAAGAGGCCCACCGAACCUGGGAACAGGCAGGAACCUCAAUACCUCAUGUGCGCACGCUUAUUUGGCAGCCGUGGAACUACAUUGUUUCAACCAGGGAAGUGGGCACACAACCAUGCAGCACGAGGGAUUGAACCCUGGUUGAGAGCUCCGCCCCUUUGGUUUCUCAACUACUAC
Molecule: unclassified non-coding RNA, 516 nt
Filed under: Zea mays
Lineage: Eukaryota; Viridiplantae; Streptophyta; Magnoliopsida; Poales; Poaceae
Description: misc RNA Zm00001eb373210
Source: RNAcentral